Molecule: ribosomal RNA, 235 nt
Filed under: soil fungal sp. DM2-410
Lineage: Eukaryota; Fungi
Description: partial 28S rRNA
Rfam family: Eukaryotic large subunit ribosomal RNA
Source: RNAcentral
AGUUGUAAUUUGUAGAGGAUGCUUUUGGUGAGGUGCCGCCCGAGUUCCCUGGAACGGGACGCCACAGAGGGUGAGAGCCCCGUCUGGCUGGCCACCGAGCCUCUGUAAAGCUCCUUCGACCAGUCGAGUAGUUUGGGAAUGCUGCUCANAAUGGGAGGUAUUUGUCUUCUAAAGCUAAAUAUUGUUCAAAGACCGUAAGCGCACAAGUAGAGUGAUUGAAAGAUGAAAAGCACCU